AUUUAGAGUUCUCAUUACAGCAUGUACUAUAUAAGAUACCGUUCCGCUCCUCCGUCACAUCAGUAUUGGACACAAUAAGAUAAAGAUGUUGAAAGAGGUUAUUAUCCUGUGCUUCAUGGUCGCAAUCGCUAGUGCGAGCACUUGCCGGAACUGUCAAGUAGGCAGGAAGCUGUACAGAGGCAACUACCGAUUUAGCUUCGACAGAGCAUGCUAUCGUUACAGAUGCCAAUGUAGCUGUGACGGUUCCUACCGCUGUCCAUCCUAUUUAACCCAAAACAUCUGCGGAGGCGGUCAGCGGCCAUGCAGAAACUGUAAAGUUUAUGGGAGAGAAUUUCAGCGUGGGAGUUUCCAGUUUGACAAAAUGUGUACAAGAUAUGAUUGCAACUGUAAUUGUGACGGAUCAUGGAAUUGCCCUGCAGAGAAAAGCAAUCGUAUUUGUUGACCAUUUUACUGAAAAAGCUACUUUUAAAACUAUUGCUGUUUGAAUAAACGAAAUAACACUUCC
Long non-coding RNA from Ostrea edulis (European flat oyster), 505 nucleotides. RefSeq lists it as uncharacterized. Lineage: Eukaryota; Metazoa; Mollusca; Bivalvia; Ostreida; Ostreidae. The transcript is spliced from 2 exons. The record is from RefSeq and is a predicted model, not a curated record.